Gorilla gorilla gorilla (western lowland gorilla) is the source of this 450-nucleotide long non-coding RNA. RefSeq lists it as uncharacterized. The transcript is spliced from 4 exons. Lineage: Eukaryota; Metazoa; Chordata; Mammalia; Primates; Hominidae. The record is from RefSeq and is a predicted model, not a curated record.
CCUGCUUUCGCCAUGUAAAGUGCCUGCUCCCCUCUCGCCUUCUGCCAUGAUUGUAGCCUUCCUUAGGCCUCCCUAGAAGCCGAAAUGCUUCCUGUACAACCUGCAGAACCGUUCCAGAGGAUCCUGACAACUCAAGAAGAGUAACAACUCACCAAACAAGAUCCAAGUAAGGGGGAAGAAACUCAGGACUGCAAAACACCUGGAGGGAGAGAGGGUAAAACACCCUCAAGGAUGGGCACUGCACAGACUGUAACAACAAGGAACGUGGCUUUGCAUCCUCCCAGCAACAAAGUCUACCAUGGAUCCCACGCCACUCUGAUUUCGGCUCAGCCGAGAACUUGAAAUAACGGGCCCACUGCCUCUGCUCCACGAGGAUCCAUGCCAUCAUGGCACUUUGGGAGGCCUGUCACGAGUUACACAGGCCUAGGCUGCCCACGCCCCAGCUCAGCA